Pyrus x bretschneideri (Chinese white pear) is the source of this 2025-nucleotide long non-coding RNA. RefSeq lists it as uncharacterized. Lineage: Eukaryota; Viridiplantae; Streptophyta; Magnoliopsida; Rosales; Rosaceae. The transcript is spliced from 2 exons. The record is from RefSeq and is a predicted model, not a curated record.
ACACACACAAAAUAUAAUAUGUUAUUUCAUAUCAGUAAUACAAGGCUUGUGUGCGUAGUUGGACAUAUGUCAUUCUCUCUAUGUGUGUGGCUUAUGGGCUUUGUGUUCUCAUCAUCUAUAUACAUACACACACGUAUACAAUGCAUUGCAGCCUGUUUAACAUAGCAGGUAUAUAUAAACGAAAAUUUAGGAACUGUUAACUACGUUGGUCUCACCAGCUAGCAUUGAUUGUUAAAAGUGCGAAUUCUACAUCAGAAAAUUAAAAACAUUAUAUAUAUGCUUAUAAAGUGUUAAGCGACUCUCGCUUUGUUCAUUGAUUUCGCCCCAACACGAUCAUGUGAUCGAUCAAAUUAGAGAGACCUAUUUAUAUGAGUAGUGAGUAAAUGGAGCCAGGAAAACCACGUUAAGUAUAUUUGAUAGGGUAUGCAAAUGCAAGGUCGAUCUGACAAUGAAUAUGAGGUGUAUGCAAGGGACUGUUCGCUUGACAAGGUUUUGCAUGGAAUGUGACACCUCCAUCGAUCGCUAACUCUCUCUCUCCAAGUUGUAUAUUGAUAUGUCAGUUUCCAAUGGACCACAUUACAACCACACCCACAUGCAAAUGGCAGGCAUCCUGCUUAAAUUCCGGGUCCGAUCUCUCUUUCUCUUUCAAGUAUAUUGUUCUGUGUUUUUAUUUUUUUUUUAUAUUUUGGUUGAAUAAACUAUCCUUUACUUAUAAAAAUAACUAAAAAUUGACUUUCUUUAAAAAAAUUGGGAACUGAUUGCUACUACUGAAUUAUAUAAACUGACUAUAUUGGAGUGUUAACAACAAUUCUUAAAUUUUAUUCACAAAUACUUAUAACUUAUUACAAAGUUGGAGCAUGUAUGUUCUUCUCAGCCCUACUUUUAACUAAUUGUACAAUUCAGUAUGUAGAUUAGCUUAUCGUUCAUCUUUAUUUCCCUUAUAGCUAAAUAUAUGUAAUAGCUGAUUUGAUUUGUUUUCAAUUACCCAAGCAAAGCCCGUGGAUGAUGACAUGAAUUACAAGCAAUCUGGUCUUAGCUGGCAUAAGCCAAUAUGGUAAGAAGGAUGUGGGAUUGAUUUCUGCACAUCCCUUUUUAGUUAUGAUCCUUUCUUUUUAAUUUUUUUACUAUUAUUAGAACAUGGAAGAGUUUGAAACCAUUACAAUAAUUUAAAGAAUGAGAAAUUUCAAACCCAUAACGCAUUGGCAUAAACCCAACACCUAUCCACUAAGAUAUUAGAUCACAUGUGCUCUGAGCCCUUUUCUCUUGUACUUUGUACAAUUCAACAGUUAAAAAAAGAAGAAUGUACGUGACCUGAAAAGAAAAGUGGUGUGUAGAACUGACUUCACUUACAUCGAUCAAAUGCGACGAACUAGACAUAUAGGGUCUCACAUGUGCGGAGCUGCUCUGCCUACUUGUCUCAUGUAUGAUAUUUGUAUAUGCAUCAAUUGCAAAUGAAGGACGCAAGUAUCGUCCUUAUUGGUAUGUAUAAUAAUGUUGUGUAGGAAAAAGCUAAAACGUAUGAUGUGCGAAAAGGAAGUUUUCAUACCUAGAUCACCGCAAGGCCAAGCUAUCUGAGGACUCACUUCUCUUCCCUUGCUACAUAUAUAAUAUGUUGGAAAAAUAUCUAUCUUGAAAUCUCUUUGAAGUCUAAAUUUCAACUUGUAGUUUUCUACCAAAGAAAAGAAGAUUUACUUAGAGAAGAAAAUUUGCUUAGAGACGAGUCUUAUUAACAAAGGAGUAUACCUAGUAGACCUCCAUCAGCUUGAAGCCUGGCAAGAUCUCUGAUGAGCAAAUUAUAUAUGUUGCCUAUCCAGUUAAUUAACUCUAACCGAAACUUGUUUAAAACGCUCAUGAUCAAACUAACACAAGUAAAACCGUCUCCAGUUUCCUAUCGUUGAUAGCGAUGUUUACAGAGGAUGCAUGUGCUACAGUUUGUUAUAAUUUUUUGGUUCGAUUUCUAGCAACAUAUAUAGUAGGAACUAUGAUCUCCCAAGCCCUAAUUAUACAGAGGCUGAAAUUUUUCUU